GUGAGGAAUAUUGCACAAUGGGGGAAACCCUGAUGCAGCAACGCCGCGUGGGUGAUGAAGGCCUUCGGGUCGUAAAACCCUUUUCUAAGGGACGAGACAGGACGGUACCUUAGGAAUAAGUCCCGGCUAACUACGUGCCAGCAGCCGCGGUAAAACGUAGGGGGCGAGCGUUAUCCGGAAUUAUUGGGCGUAAAGCGCGUGCAGGCGGCUUGGUAGGUUGGACGUGAAAGCUCCUGGCUUAACUAGGAGAGGCCGUUCAAAACCGCCAGGCUUGAGGACGGAAGAGGGGAGUGGAAUUCCCGGUGUAGUGGUGGAAUGCGUAGAUAUCGGGAGGAACACCAGUGGCGAAGGCGGCUCCCUGGUCCGUAUCUGACGCUCAGACGCGAAAGCGUGGGGAGCGAACGGGAUUAGAUACCCCGGUAGUCC
This 426-nucleotide ribosomal RNA is filed under the name uncultured bacterium. RNAcentral describes it as "bacterial SSU rRNA". It matches the Rfam family "Bacterial small subunit ribosomal RNA", at positions 354 to 796 of the family's 1533-position model. The record is from RNAcentral.